GACGAACGCUGGCGGCGUGCCUAAUACAUGCAAGUAGAACGCUGAAGGAGGAGCUUGCUUCUCUGGAUGAGUUGCGAACGGGUGAGUAACGCGUAGGUAACCUGCCUGGUAGCGGGGGAUAACUAUUGGAAACGAUAGCUAAUACCGCAUAAGAGUAGAUGUUGCAUGACAUUUGCUUAAAAGGUGCAAUUGCAUCACUACCAGAUGGACCUGCGUUGUAUUAGCUAGUUGGUGGGGUAACGGCUUACCAAGGCGACGAUACAUAGCCGACCUGAGAGGGUGAUCGGCCACACUGGGACCGAGACACGGCCCAGACUCCUACGGGAGGCAGCAGUAGGGAAUCUUCGGCAAUGGACGGAAGUCUGACCGAGCAACGCCGCGUGAGUGAAGAAGGGUUUCGGAUCGUAAAGCUCUGUUGUAAGAGAAGAACGAGUGUGAGAGUGGAAAGUUCACACUGUGACGGUAUCUUACCAGAAAGGGACGGCUAACUACGUG
Molecule: ribosomal RNA, 495 nt
Filed under: uncultured bacterium
Lineage: Bacteria
Description: partial 16S ribosomal RNA
Rfam family: Bacterial small subunit ribosomal RNA
Source: RNAcentral